RNAcentral lists this transfer RNA (75 nucleotides) under Termitinemataceae bacterium. RNAcentral describes it as "tRNA-Thr". It matches the Rfam family "tRNA". Rfam says of the family: Transfer RNA (tRNA) molecules are approximately 80 nucleotides in length. Their secondary structure includes four short double-helical elements and three loops (D, anti-codon, and T loops). Lineage: Bacteria; Pseudomonadati; Spirochaetota; Spirochaetia; Spirochaetales; Termitinemataceae. The record is from RNAcentral.
GGCCCUUGUAGCUCAGUCGGUAGAGUAUAUCCAUGGUAAGGAUAAGGUCAUCAGUUCGAUUCUGAUCGGGGGCUU